AUACGGAGGAUCCGAGCGUUAUCCGGAUUUAUUGGGUUUAAAGGGUGCGCAGGCGGGAGAUUAAGUCGGCGGUGAAAUUUUGCAGCUCAACUGUAAAAGUGCCUUCGAAACUGGUUUCCUUGAGUGUAGAUGAAGUAGGCGGGAUUUGUGGUGUAGCGGUGAAAUGCAUAGAUAUCACGAGGAACUCCGAUUGCGCAGGCAGCUUACUAAACUACUACUGACGCUCAGGCACGAAGGCGUGGGGAUCAAACAGGAUUAGAUACCCUGGUAGUCCACGCAGUAAACGAUGAUUACUAGCUGUUUGCGAUACAAUGUAAGCGGCUGAGCGAAAGCGUUAAGUAAUCCACCUGGGGAGUACGUUCGCAAGAAUGAAACUCAAAGGAAUUGACGGGG
RNAcentral lists this ribosomal RNA (393 nucleotides) under uncultured bacterium. RNAcentral's name for it is "partial 16S ribosomal RNA". It matches the Rfam family "Bacterial small subunit ribosomal RNA", at positions 523 to 918 of the family's 1533-position model. The record is from RNAcentral.